GUGCUCACUUCAACAGCACAUAUACUAAAAAUGGAAUGAUACGGUGAAGAUUAGCACAGCCCCUGCGCAAGGAUGACACACAAAUUCAUGAAGUGUUCCAUAUUUAA
RNAcentral lists this small nuclear RNA (107 nucleotides) under Jaculus jaculus (lesser Egyptian jerboa). Lineage: Eukaryota; Metazoa; Chordata; Mammalia; Rodentia; Dipodidae. The record is from RNAcentral.